Molecule: ribosomal RNA, 433 nt
Filed under: uncultured bacterium
Lineage: Bacteria
Description: partial 16S ribosomal RNA
Rfam family: Bacterial small subunit ribosomal RNA
Source: RNAcentral
AACGAACGCUGGCGGCAUGCCUAACACAUGCAAGUCGAACGAGACCUUCGGGUCUAGUUGCGCACGGGUGCGUAACGCGUGGGAACCUGCCCUUAGGUUCGGAAUAACUCCCCGAAAGGGGUGCUAAUACCGGAUAAUGUCUUCGGACCAAAGAUUUAUCGCCUUUGGAUGGGCCCGCGUUGGAUUAGCUAGUUGGUAGGGUAAAAGCCUACCAAGGCGACGAUCCAUAGCUGGUCUGAGAGGAUGAUCAGCCACACUGGGACUGAGACACGGCCCAGAAUCCUACGGGAGGCAGCAGUGGGGAAUAUUGGACAAUGGGCGAAAGCAUGAUCCAGCAAUGCCGCGUGAGUGAUGAAGGCCUUAGGGUUGUAAAGCUCUUUUACACGGGAUGAUAAUGACAGUACCGGGAGAAUAAGCUCCGGCUAACUCCGUG